Molecule: ribosomal RNA, 407 nt
Filed under: uncultured bacterium
Lineage: Bacteria
Description: partial 16S ribosomal RNA
Rfam family: Bacterial small subunit ribosomal RNA
Source: RNAcentral
AUUGAACGCUGGCGGCAGGCCUAACACAUGCAAGUCGAGCGGAGCGGCGGACGGGUGAGUAAUGCUAAGGAAUCUGACUGGUAGUGGUGGAUAACGUCCGGAAACGGGCGCGAAUACUGCAUACUAUCAGAUGAGGCUAGGUCGGAUUAGCUAGAAGGUGUGGUAAAGGCCUACCAAGGCGACGACCCGUACCUGGUCUGAGAGGAUGAUCAGUCACACUGGAACUGAGACACGGUCCAGACUCCUACGGGAGGCAGCAGUGGGGAAUAUUGCACAAUGGGCGAAAGCCUGAUCCAGCCAUGCCGCGUGUGUGAAGAAGGUCUUCGGGUUGUAAAGCACUUUCAGUUGGGAGGCGUUACCAACAGAAGAAGCACCGGCUAACUUCGUGCCAGCAGCCGCGGUAAUAC